RNAcentral lists this ribosomal RNA (217 nucleotides) under Pseudoalteromonas sp. 5Ae-yellow. RNAcentral's name for it is "partial 16S ribosomal RNA". It matches the Rfam family "Bacterial small subunit ribosomal RNA", at positions 1 to 219 of the family's 1533-position model. The record is from RNAcentral. Lineage: Bacteria; Pseudomonadati; Pseudomonadota; Gammaproteobacteria; Alteromonadales; Pseudoalteromonadaceae.
UUAAUUGAAGAGUUUGAUCAUGGCUCAGAUUGAACGCUGGCGGCAGGCCUAACACAUGCAAGUCGAGCGGUAACAGAAAGUAGCUUGCUACUUUGCUGACGAGCGGCGGACGGGUGAGUAAUGCUUGGGAACAUGCCUUGAGGUGGGGGACAACAGUUGGAAACGACUGCUAAUACCGCAUAAUGUCUACGGACCAAAGGGGGCUUCGGCUCUCGCC